CCAAUAGCGUAUAUUAAAGUUGUUGCAGUUAAAAAGCUCGUAGUUGAAUUUCGGGAUCAAUAUAUCGGUCGUGCCAUCGGUACGUACUGGUAUCAUUGGUUUCUCCUUUCUGACGAACCAUGAUGUCAUUAAUUUGGUGUUAUGGGAAGUUAGGACUGUUACUUUGAAAAAAUUAGAGUGUUUAAAGCAGGCUCGCGCUUGAAUACAUUAGCAUGGAAUAAUGAAAUAGGACGUUUGAUUCUAUUUUGUUGGUUUCUAGGAUCGACGUAAUGAUUAAUAGGGAUAGUUGGGGGCAUUAGUAUUCAAUUGUCAGAGGUGAAAUUCUUGGAUUUAUUGAAGACUAACUACUGCGAAAGCAUUUGCCAAGGAUGUUUUCAUUAAUCAAGAACGAAAGUUAGGGGAUCGAAGACGAUCAGAUACCGUCGUAGUCUUAACCAUAAACUAUGCCGACUAGGGAUCGGAUGAUGUUAAUUUUUUAAUGACUCAUUCGGCGCCUUACG
Molecule: ribosomal RNA, 500 nt
Filed under: uncultured Glomeromycotina
Lineage: Eukaryota; Fungi; Glomeromycota
Description: partial small subunit ribosomal RNA
Rfam family: Eukaryotic small subunit ribosomal RNA
Source: RNAcentral